ACGACGCUGGCGGCGUGCCUAAUACAUGCAAGUCGAACGGUCUUUCUAUGGAAGCUUGCUUCCACUGAGAAGAUAGUGGCGAACGGGUGAGUAACACGUGGGUAACCUGCCCAUAAGAGGGGGGAUAACAUCCGGAAACGGGUGCUAAUACCGCAUAGUUUUCUUGAUCGCAUGAUUGAGAAAGGAAAGACGGCCUUUGUGCUGUCGCUUAUGGAUGGACCCGCGGCGUAUUAGUUAGUUGGUGAGGUAACGGCUCACCAAGACGAUGAUACGUAGCCGACCUGAGAGGGUGAUCGGCCACAUUGGGACUGAGACACGGCCCAAACUCCUACGGGAGGCAGCAGUAGGGAAUCUUCCGCAAUGGACGAAAGUCUGACGGAGCAACGCCGCGUGAGUGAAGAAAAGGUUUUCGGAUCGUAAAACUCUGUUGUCAGAGAAGAACAAGUUGGAGAGUAACUGCUCCAGCCUUGACGGUAUCUGACCAGAAAGCCACGGCUAACUACGUGCCAGCAGCCGC
This 517-nucleotide ribosomal RNA is filed under the name uncultured bacterium. Its description in RNAcentral is "bacterial SSU rRNA". It matches the Rfam family "Bacterial small subunit ribosomal RNA", at positions 32 to 518 of the family's 1533-position model. The record is from RNAcentral.